AAGCUUAUUUAUUGUAAUUUUCUUAAUUUUUUUUGUUGAAAGGUUGUCUUCUCGUAAAGUUGUGUCUUUUAGAUUAGAGAUGUGUUUCUCUUUAGGGUUGUGUCUUUUAGAUUAGAAGAUGUGUUUUUUCAUUAGUGACGUGUGUGAAGAGUUGUAUCCCUCCAUUCUCUAUAAAUAGGGGCAUGUGUUUUUUUGUUUUGUAUCAAGUCAUCUUGUACUUGAGUUCAUUCCAUAUUGAAAUAAAUCUUAUUUUCUCAAACUAUUACAUUUAAUAGUUCAUAGAUUUGGAAGCCAACCAACAUUUGGUAUCAGAGCCAAGGCAAAGGGGUAUCAGAGCCAAGGCAAAGGGGAGAUUCUGUCAAGGAAAAUGGCCACCAAUCUUUUUCAACCUCAAAUUUCAAAACUUUCAAAGGAGAAUUAUAAGAAUUGGUCUCUUCAAAUGAAGGCAUUGUUUGGAUCCCUAGAUCUAUGGAAGAUCGUCAAUAAUGGGUAUCAUGAACCCAUAGCUCAAGAAGAAGCCGGUCUUUCUGCAAAUCAAAGAAAUGAGUUGAAAGAUGCAAGAAGGAUAAGAAGGCUUGGUUCUUCCUUUAUCAAGCAGUGGAGUCUUCCUUUGAGAAAAUUGCCGAAGCGGCGUCUAGCAAGGAAGCAUGGGAUAUCCUCGCCAUCAUCUUCAAAGGAGAUGAGUGUGUGAAGUGGAUUCGCUUAUAGAAGUUGCAAGCCGAGUUUGAAGGCAUCCGCAUGGAGUUCGAAAGUGUUGCGGACUGUUUUUCGGAUUUUGGUUAUUGUGAAUCAAAUGAAGAGAUAUGGUGAGAUACUUGAAGAUGUUCGAGUUGUAGAGAAUGUUUUACGCUCAUUAUCUCCAAAGUUUGAGCACAUCGUCGUUGCCAUAGAGGAGUUGAAGGACAUCGAGUCCCUCUUUAUCGAUCAACUAAUAGGAUCCCUUCAAGUACAUGAGUAAAGAUUGCAAAAGAAUUCUGAAGAUGAGUCAACAGAACAAAUUCUCAAGUCAAAAUUGAAACUUAACUACCAAAAGAGCAAAAGUUAUGGAAAAAGUAAUAAUAGAAACAAAAGAUAUGGUCAUGACCGAUAGAAUAGCAACAAAGAUGGUUACAAUUCACGAUUCGAGAUUGUCAUCAAAAGAGAUGGACGCUCAGAUUCGUAUGGUGGUGCAAAAUCUAAUAUCCAAUGCUAUAAUUGUAAAAAAUAUGGACACUGCGGCAAAGAUUGUUGGCAUAAGAAUACUAAAGAAAUGAACAACUAUAUCGAUGGUAUAAUAGAAGGAGAAACUACGCUUCUACUCACAUGACAAGAAGUUGUUGAAGAUCCACAAAAUAUAUGGUUUCUCGAUUUUGGAGCUUCAAAUCAUGUGUGGUAAUAAGAAAUUGUUUGUUAAAAUGGAGAAGGAUGUACAUGGUAAUAUAAAAUUUGGUGAUUCGUUAAAAGUACCUAUGAAAGAAAAAGGAAAAAUCAUGUUUAAAUCUAAGAAUGGUGAACAAGAGUACAUCUCAAAUGUACACUUUGUAUCCGAUUUAAAGAGUAACAUACUAAGUAUUGGACAACUAUUGGAGAAAGAUUACACUAUUCACAUGGAGGACUCUAUCCUAACAUUGAAGGAUAAGAACAAAAGGAUAAUUGCAAAAGUGCACAUGUCAAAGAACUGAAUGUUUUUUAUUAAUAUAAAAAUCGAGAUUGAAAGAUGCUAUCAAGUAGAUUUGAAAGAAGAAUCAAGAUUAUGUCAUGGUGUCUGUUCGUGCUAGCAUCAUUCUUUUGAAAUGUUGAAGCCAAUGUUUGCAGAGAUAGAGGUCCGUCUAAAUUAGAUAUGUUGAGAAAAAUAUUUCGAGAUUCGGUCCACAAUAAGUUUAGAACGAGAUUAAGGAUGACGAACGGAAUUUAACGAGCCUAAGAACAGUCUAAACGGAGUUCGGAUGGUGAAGAUAUGCAUGAAGAAAGCCUGAGAGAUGGUACGGCCCAUAGGCCAUCGGAGGGACCCAUGAGCCGGUGCAGGCCGGUGGCGGCGCGGGCCAGGCUCGACAGUGCGCUAGUGUUCGUCCAACAGUGCGCUGGGCCUGCCCAGGCACCCGUGCAGCCCGCACGUGCGGGCGCCUAGGCCCGCCUGGGAUCACGGUCCAUCGUGGACUGUGCGCUCUGUCGGGGCUCAUAGUCGGGUGUGGAUUGGAGCGUGAUUUGACGGCUGAUGUCGCUUGUGGUGGGGAUCUGACGGCUGGAGCCUUUGUGCGAUCGGACGAGUUAGAUGCAUGCCUGUGAGGAUCCGACGGCCACAGUUUUGGCGUGAUCCGAUGGCUCUGGAGCGAGUCGGUCGUGAUCGGACGGCCAUGGUGAAAUCCGACUUUGAUCAGGCAUGAUCAAGGUUGAUAUGCAUGAUUGGACAGCUCUGGUUUGAGCCGGUCACGAUCGGACAAUUCAUAAGGGUUCUAGGAUUUGAUUUGAGUCUGGCAUCCGAGUAAAACACUAUUUUGGAGUUUCUGGAGGCUAUAUAGCUCAGAUUGAUAAGUUAUUUGUUGCGUUGGAUAGCUGGUGACGUCCUGAUCGUGUAGAGAGAUUUCAAAAGAAGUUUCAGAGAGCUUUUGUGAGGGUUUUGGGGCUUGUUGAGAGAUUUUUAUACAAGGGUUAAGUGAUGAGUUCAUCUUGUAUUUGUUUGAUUUUUUUUCUCUCAUAGGGAAGCUUGCACGCCUCGUGGAGGUAGGCUUGAGGCCAAUCCAUGUUACCUUGAUUUGUUUAUGGUAUUUUUCUCUUUUUUUUCUUCCUCCCUCAACAAGUGGUAUUAGAGUGCAACAAGAUACACCUAUGAUCUCAAGAGGUAGAAUGAUUAGUCCAUUGUUAGAUCUUCAUGCAAAAAAUGAUGAAGAAAGCCUUCUCUCACCUACAUGUGAGAAUGCUCCACCAUUGCCUAUACAUAAACCAAUUGUUUUUGGAACUGGGAUAGUUGUAUUCACUGAGGCAAUAACACCAAAGUAUGUCGAAGCUGGAGAUGAUACACCUCAUCUUUACAUAACAGAUGCUUUUAAGGCUGUUUUAUCCUAUUAAUAGAAGUAUUCUUUUGCAAGUAACCGGCUAUCUAGUCCUACCCCUUCCGAGGAGGAUAAUGAUAAAAAUAAUGCUCAGGAUGAAGUCACUAGUGUUUUAGCCAACAGUCAGAUUCAAGUUGCUACUAACAGUGUUACUUGUCCAGAUAGCUCAAGUAAUCAUCAGCAAGGUACUGAUAAACUUGGACAGUUGAGUUCAACAUCAAAUAUGGCUACAAGGCUUGCUUUGAAGAGUAGGGACCCAAGGCUUAAGUUUGUUAGCUCUGAAAGUGGAAGUGCUUUGGAUCCUAACAUACAGGAGAUGUUCUUGGACUAUAGUGCUCCAAAUAAUGGCUCUAUAACCCACCUUAGGAAGCAUAAGAUGGUUGAUGAGUAUUUGCUUGAGAAUCAUAUCUUGAAAAAACAAAGAAAUGGACUUACAAAUUCAGGUGAUGUGCAGAUGAUACUAGGAAAAGGAGGUGGGUGGGUAGACGACAAUAGUGCUGUGGGCACUCAACCAAGUAACAUGACUUGAUUAAAGAAAAGGCUUGGAGUACGAUUUAAAAAAAAAGGGGUAAAAGAGAACGAUUUUAACCAGGUUGACCAGUGCAAAAAAAAUUGAUCGCAAAGUUUGAGAUAGAAAGAGAUCGUUACUAUCAAUGAAGAGGCACGGUUGUCCAAUGAAGAGGCACGAUUGAAAAGGGAUUGUUGUUUAAAAGAGAAGAACAAGUGAACCGUAUGUACUGGUGUCCCUUGGAUAAAGGAAGUUAUGGAAUAGUUAUUCUUUGAAACCCUUGGAUAAAAGAUAGUUACUAGUAAGCACCUUUUCAUGUCCCUUGAAUAAAGGAAGUUAUGAGAUAGUUAUUCUUUGAAACCGUGAGCACCUUUUCAUGUCUAUAUAAAGUAAUAGAUUGCCCAUAAAGUUCUUUCACUUAUCAGAGUGUGUCUAAGGCUGCAAAGUGGAAGAAUGGAGAAGGAAGUAAAAAUCUCUUACAAGAAUUUGCUACAAGAAUAUUGUCAAAAACAUCACAUACCAUUACUGCAAUAUUCAACUUUCAAGUAAGGAUUAGAUCAUUUGCCGGAAUUUUAUUCUUUAGUUCAAGUAUGUGAAAAGUUGUACAUGGAAAACAUGAUUGACGAAGAAGAAUGCCAAAUAAAAUGCCACAGAAUAUGCUUUUAAGAGAAUUGUAGGUCCUUAUUGGCCUAUGAAUACUUACAAUUUUUCACAGACCUUGGUGAAGAAUCUUGAAAAAGCAAAUAUUUUCUUAGAAAAGGAAAACAUGGCAUUGAAUGUGGAAAACAAAUCUUUGGAGAAUGCAAUCAACGAACAAGCAUGCGAGAUUAGAAGACUAAUUGUGGAAAAGAAAGAUUUACAAAAAAAGCUCCAAGUUUACAAAGAUCCAAUUGAAGAAGAUGAGGAUAGUUGUGCAUAAACAAGCUUAAGGGGGAAUUUGUUAGAGUAUAAGCUUAUUUAUUGUAAUUUUCUUAUUUUUUUUUGUUAAAAGGUUGUGUCUUUUCAUAAAGUUGUGUCUUGUAGAUUAGAGAUGUGUUUCUCCUUAGGGUUGUAUCUUUUAGAUUAGAUGUGUUUUUUCAUUAGCGACAUGUGUGAAGAGUUGUAUCCCUCCAUUCUCUAUAAAUAGGGGCAUGUGUUUUUUUGUUUUAUAUCAAGUCAUCUUAUACUUGAGUUCAUUCCAUAUUGAAAUAAAUCUUAUUUUUCUCAAACUAUUACAUUUAAUAGUUCAUAGAUUUGGAAGCCCACCAACACUUUUCCUCUUGAUAUCGAUGGUUUAAUCUUGUUUUGGCUGCCGGAAUUGGAUCGAUUCUCAUCGGAGACC
Molecule: long non-coding RNA, 4858 nt
Filed under: Elaeis guineensis (African oil palm)
Lineage: Eukaryota; Viridiplantae; Streptophyta; Magnoliopsida; Arecales; Arecaceae
Description: long non-coding RNA (EGUI_LNC030959)
Source: RNAcentral